AAAUAUGAAGUAAACUAUAUAUACAUA
This 27-nucleotide small RNA is filed under the name Arabidopsis thaliana (thale cress). RNAcentral describes it as "ATSL161250". The record is from RNAcentral. Lineage: Eukaryota; Viridiplantae; Streptophyta; Magnoliopsida; Brassicales; Brassicaceae.